This is a long non-coding RNA of Lycium ferocissimum, 622 nucleotides long. RefSeq lists it as uncharacterized. The record is from RefSeq and is a predicted model, not a curated record. The transcript has 3 exons. Lineage: Eukaryota; Viridiplantae; Streptophyta; Magnoliopsida; Solanales; Solanaceae.
AUUUUCUUAGAAGAAAGAAAAAUAUGAGGAAAAGAUAGUGGUUCAUUUAGCAAACAACGCCAAAAUCAUCAAUCGGGUCGGGUCGCAGCCAAUAGAGAAGAAAAGACCAUCAAAGCUUUCAGUUUUCUACAGAUUCUUACUGUUCUUAGAUACUAAAACAUCCUGCUUUUUCUCACUUGAUGUCUCGCAAGCGCAAUGUCAUUGUUGCCACAGGCUUGCUAGUCUUUGCAGCUGGUGGCUUAUCCUUUCCAUUUUACAUGGCGACAAGAUCGUCAAGGGCAACUCCAUUGAUUGAUUCAUCAAAGCCGUUGCCACCACAGGCGACCUUUCGUGGGCCUUACAUCAACACAGGAUCGCGUGAUAUUGGACCUGAUCAUCGAACUUACCCCAAGAAAUAACAACUUUCUUAGUUAGAAACUAGUUUGCUAGUAAUUGAAGACUGCUUUAAAUUCUCCUCUCUUUCUAUUUUAUGUAAAGAGAUAAUAAUGAGUCUGUUGAAACUGUGUUACGCUGUGGAGAAAACUAGCAAGUUUGAGAGUGAUUCUUUUAGGGAUAGGAGAGCCUUAUCUGGCCUGAACAACACUGUUAUAAAUAUAAAUUGAUGUUCUUUUAGGGAAAGAGU